GAAACUAAAGAUCCUCUUCGUGUCCAACCACAUCUGAAGAAAUGCUUCGAAGGAGUUUCAAAACUCGAGUUUACAGAUGACCAAGAAAUUGUCGGCAUGAUCAGUGCUGAAAAUGAAACUGUGCCAUUUAGUUCCAAAAUUUAUCCUGCCAAGGCUAAGGUGAGAUGUGUAGACUAGUUU
Molecule: non-coding RNA, 180 nt
Organism: Paramuricea clavata
Lineage: Eukaryota; Metazoa; Cnidaria; Anthozoa; Malacalcyonacea; Plexauridae
Source: the annotation of a GenBank genome assembly